Molecule: long non-coding RNA, 1673 nt
Filed under: Medicago truncatula (barrel medic)
Lineage: Eukaryota; Viridiplantae; Streptophyta; Magnoliopsida; Fabales; Fabaceae
Description: long non-coding RNA (MTRU_LNC007551)
Source: RNAcentral
CUCUUCUCUCCUUCUUCUCCCAAAGUUGGUUUUUACGUGAAACUGGUUUUCUGACAUCCAUCCUUUUCUUAACUUCCCAUUAAUUGUAACUCCCUACUAUUUUCAUUUAACUCCCCAUAAUUUCUAUUAACUCCUAUUAAUACCCCCAAACACCAAAAUAAUUAAUAUUUCAUACUUAUUCUAAUUAUUAUUAAAUAAACCAUAUAAUAAAAUAAUACACCACAUAAAUCAUCCAAAAUCACACACACACACACACACACAUAUAUAUAUAUAUAUAUAUAUAUAUAAAUAUAUGCAUAUACUCCACAUAAAUUAAAAUAAUUAACUAUAACAACUAGGGCGUUACACUUUGUGUUUUCAAUUGAUAGUGUGAUAUUAUUGUUUAUAUAGGUUUGGUUUGGAAUUGUCUAAAAGUUUUUGUAAGUUUGAUUGUAUAUAAGAUUUGUAUCGUGAAUCUUUCAAUUUUAGAUUAUAUCUCAUUGCACAUAGAUUUAUCUUUUUGUAUAUUGUUGUGAUUGAUCGCGCAUGAUUUCAAUAGUGAUUGUUCACGUCAGUGGUAUUAUUUUAGAGGUAUAAGACGAGAAUUUCUAUAUCUUAUUCAAAGAAAUUUUUUCUUAUUGUAAUUUUAACGUACCCAAUGCCAAGUUUAACACACCAUGCUAGAUAUUCUAGGUAAUUUCUAGUAGGGGUGUUUCAUUUUACACCAUCAGUGGCAUACAUCCUCAUUUGCAAAAGCCUUAAGUAAAUCACCUCAAAAUGUACAAAGAGAUAGCGUAGUCUAAUCAAUAGAAAUUAAAAUCUCAAUAGAAUUAUUCAAAUUUAAUCAAAUUCAUUGACAUUUAUACGUAAAUUAUUUGAGUUUAUUCUGAUUCAUUUUUAAAGGCAUUCAAAACUAUUUUGUUUAAUUAUGAUUUAUAAUCCGCAUACAAAUGGAAAAGUCUUCGAAAUUAGAUUUUGUUGAAUUUUUUCUUCAAAUUUAAUCUUAUUAAUUAGGAUUUUUCUAAUCAAGAAGUGAGUACUUUUUUCUUUUGGGUGAAAAAGUGCGUACCUUCAUACGGUUAAACAUAAACUUUUUUGAAAAGGAAGGUUAAACAUAAACUUGUAACUCUUAAAUUAAGAAUAGCGAAAUAGAAUACCAAUCAUAAUUAAAUAUAAGUUAUGCUCUUGAUGUAGUAUAAUAUAGGAGAAUGAGAAUUGAGCUACAUUAACUAAUUUCAUCAAUAUAAUUUACGCCCUUUUGUUUCAUUCGAAUGCAUAUAGGCAUAAUCAUAGCAAAAAAAUUACACAAUCCUCGUUAAUAUAAUAGAUAUAAUAGAGUGACUCAUUGCAAUAAAAUAUCUAUAAUAAAGUGGCUCAUUGCAAUAAAAGAUUUAUCUAGAUUCUUAUCUAAGAAUGAUUAAGUUAGCGACUCAUCCGUUUUGGAUAUCUGAAAAUCUGUUGGAAGAAAGUAGCAUUAGCAAUUAGAUUCAAAUGAAAAGGUGUAUCAACCUCAUAAUCCAUCAAGCCAUUAAAAUUCCAUUCUUUUUAAAAUCUAGAAAAUGCUUUUUUAUGUCUUUUUUAAGGGAGGAAGAGGUAGAUGAAAAUAAUGAAAAACAAAUUGUGUAUAUAUAGGAAAAAAAACCAUUUCAUGAUAAAUUUUGAUUGGCUAAUGAAAAAUAAAUGAGUUAUGAUCC